RNAcentral lists this ribosomal RNA (654 nucleotides) under uncultured bacterium. RNAcentral's name for it is "bacterial SSU rRNA". It matches the Rfam family "Bacterial small subunit ribosomal RNA", at positions 202 to 842 of the family's 1533-position model. The record is from RNAcentral.
GAAAGAUGGCUUUGGCUAUCACUCUGGGAUGGACCUGCGGUGCAUUAGCUAGUUGGUAAGGUAACGGCUUACCAAGGCGAUGAUGCAUAGCCGAGUUGAGAGACUGAUCGGCCACAAUGGAACUGAGACACGGUCCAUACUCCUACGGGAGGCAGCAGUAGGGAAUCUUCCACAAUGGGCGCAAGCCUGAUGGAGCAACACCGCGUGAGUGGAGAAGGGUUUCGGCUCGUAAAGCUCUGUUGUUGGAGAAGAACGUGCGUGAGAAUAACUGUUCACGCAGUGACGGUAUCCAACCAGAAAGUCACGGCUAACUACGUGCCAGCAGCCGCGGUAAUACGUAGGUGGCAAGCGUUAUCCGGAUUUAUUGGGCGUAAAGCGAGCGCAGGCGGUUGCUUAGGUCUGAUGUGAAAGCCUUCGGCUUAACCGAAGAAGUGCAUCGGAAACCGGGCGACUUGAGUGCAGAAGAGGACAGUGGAACUCCAUGUGUAGCGGUGGAAUGCGUAGAUAUAUGGAAGAACAUCAGUGGCGAAGGCGGCUGUCUGGUCUGCAACUGACGCUGAGGCUCGAAAGCAUGGGUAGCGAACAGGAUUAGAUACCCUGGUAGUCCAUGCCGUAAACGAUGAGUGCUAGGUGUUGGAGGGUUUCCGCCCUUCA